UAGGGUGUAGCUCAGUGGUAGAGCACAUGACUUACUUGCACAAGGCCCUGGAUUUGGUUCCCAGCACCAUAA
This 72-nucleotide transfer RNA is filed under the name Heterocephalus glaber (naked mole-rat). It matches the Rfam family "tRNA". Rfam says of the family: Transfer RNA (tRNA) molecules are approximately 80 nucleotides in length. Their secondary structure includes four short double-helical elements and three loops (D, anti-codon, and T loops). Lineage: Eukaryota; Metazoa; Chordata; Mammalia; Rodentia; Bathyergidae. The record is from Rfam by way of RNAcentral.